This is a long non-coding RNA of Prunus dulcis (almond), 375 nucleotides long. RefSeq lists it as uncharacterized. NCBI's taxonomy places the organism in Eukaryota, Viridiplantae, Streptophyta, Magnoliopsida, Rosales, Rosaceae. The transcript is spliced from 2 exons. The record is from RefSeq and is a predicted model, not a curated record.
CCAGAACCAGAUAUGAGUAGCAGAGACAGAGAGAGAAGAUGGUCUCUUCGGGGAUUGACUGCUCUUGUUGCUGGAGGAACCAAAGGGAUUGGGCACGCUAUAGUGGAAGAAUUGGCAGGGCUAGGUGCAACUAUCCAUACUUGUGCUCGGAAUGAAGUUGAUCUCAAUGACUGCUUGAGCCAAUGGGAGAAGAAGGGUUUUCAAGUCACUGGUUCAGUGUGUGGUGUGGUGUCAAGAACCCAAAGAGAGGAGCUUAUAAACAAACUGAUCCAUUUAAUAAAGUGGGUGUGUUGUAAUUUUAGGUGGCAUCAAUGUUGUAAUAAAUGAUAAGAUGAUAAAUGAUCAUUUGGCAUCAAUUUUAUGUAAUUUAUUUUU